Molecule: ribosomal RNA, 253 nt
Filed under: uncultured bacterium
Lineage: Bacteria
Description: partial 16S ribosomal RNA
Rfam family: Bacterial small subunit ribosomal RNA
Source: RNAcentral
UACAGAGGUCCCGAGCGUUGUUCGGAUUCACUGGGCGUAAAGGGCGCGUAGGUGGCCUUAUAAGUCAGUGGUGAAAUCCCGCAGCUUAACUGUGGAAUUGCCAUUGAUACUGUAGGGCUUGAGUACAGAUGCCGUUGGCGGAAUAUGACAUGUAGUGGUGAAAUACAUAGAGAUGUCAUAGAACACCGAUUGCGAAGGCAGCUGACGAAACUGUAACUGACACUGAGGCUCGAAAGUGUGGGGAUCAAACAGG